RNAcentral lists this ribosomal RNA (429 nucleotides) under Triticum aestivum (bread wheat). Its description in RNAcentral is "partial small subunit ribosomal RNA". Lineage: Eukaryota; Viridiplantae; Streptophyta; Magnoliopsida; Poales; Poaceae. The record is from RNAcentral.
AUGCUAUGUGGGGUCACACAAGGCGACCCCUUCUCCCCAUUCCUGUUCAACAUGGUGGUCGAUGCGCUCGCCGCCAUCCUUGACAAGGCGAAACUUGCGGGUGAUAUUCGUGGGAUCACCUCACACCUAACAGGAGGUACUGGGAUCUCCCUUCUCCAGUAUGCCGACGACACCAUCAUCAUGGUCGAAUGCUCGGAGUCGGACAUCUCCAACCUUAAGUUCCUCCUCCUCUGUUUCCAACAAAUGUCUGGCCUCAAGAUCAACUUCGACAAGAGUGACGUGAUGGUGAUGGGCUACUCUCAGGAGGACUGCUUGAGCAUUGCCAACCGUCUGAACUGCCGCUUAGGAUUUCCCACGACCUACUUGGGGACGCUUAUUAGUGAUUCUAGGCUCAUCGUCGCGGACUUGCGCCCAACCGUGGCCAAGCUU